This 41936-nucleotide long non-coding RNA is filed under the name Gossypium barbadense (sea-island cotton). Its description in RNAcentral is "long non-coding RNA (GBAR_LNC008722)". The stretch from base 25941 to 26085 matches the Rfam family "MIR7502 microRNA precursor family". The record is from RNAcentral. Lineage: Eukaryota; Viridiplantae; Streptophyta; Magnoliopsida; Malvales; Malvaceae.
UUUCCUUUUCUUUCUCCCCUUAUUUGACGCCCUGAGGAGUUCUCUUAUCUAAUUUUUGUUUAUCAAAGGUAAUGGUAGAAAAUGUCUCUGUUUAUUUUAUUGUACAGUUCAGGUUUCAAUCAUAUAAGAUUGUAUAUGAAUUAUUUGUGAAAUAUAAUCUUGCAGAUUCCUGUUUGCUUUCUUUUUCUGCUGCUUAGUUAAUUAUCUCGUGUUUAAAAUUUCUCUUUUCCAUCUUUUCAUAUAAAUUCAUUGAAAGGAAUCUUCUAGAAACAACAAUCCUUCCUUCUUAGUAGCCCCUUCUUUUUCCCAAUGUUUGUUGAUGCUGCAAUCACUACAUUUUUUCUGGUCAAAAACAUAGUAGACUUGAGACCCUGUAAGGUCAUAGCUUGAAAUUUUGGAUAAUUAUUUCUUUAAGUUCCAUAGUCUUUAACUUUUCCUAAUUAUACUUACGUUAGUUGACUGAAAACCUCUAAGUAUGUCAAGAAAACUGGUGAGCAUAUAGGUAUUUAAGGCAAUUCAAGAAACAUUGUGAGCAUAUAGGUAUUUGAGGGAAUCCACAUGUGAACCAUAUUGUGGAAGAACAACUAUGUUGACUCAAAAACUUUAAAUAUGUCGAGAGACAUUGUAAGCCUAUAGGUAUUUGAGGCAAUCGUAAUUGAAUUUGUCUGAAAUAAAAGGUUAUACCGACAAAAAUAAGAUCCUACUAUUAUUUUCUACCGAGGAACCUUUAUAGGAUGGUAGGAAGUUGAAAUUAGUUGUAUGUUUUAGUUGAUGUUAUUCUUUGUAUGAAAUCAAUAAAGAAAUGCUAUGCAAACAGGAGAUUAAACAUUAGGGAUUAAGGUUAAGAGGUGAUGAAGGAUUAAAGUAAUUUAGUAGCCCUUAAUGGCUCUGGUUGUGCUUUAUAAAAGUUGAGUGCCCAAUGAGUUAAAACGCUUCUGGUUUAGCUUAUUAACACAAGACCCUGAGAAAAUCAAGUAUUUAGAAAGGAAAAAAUAAAUAUUUGAGGCUGACAUCUUGAGUGUUGAACAGAAAGUUGAAUCAUCUGCUUUGAUUUAUCAUUUAUGUGCAUUAGUUCAUGAACAGAAGUGUUUCCUGUUCUAUUUGGUGGACCAAGAGCUGUCUUCUCAUAUGGUUAAACGAGUAUAAUAUGUCAGCUGCUUGGGCAUACUUAUAUGCUUUGAGAAUUGGAAGAUGAGAUUAGGAGCUUGACACUGCUAAGACUGCUAUGCUUGAAAUAGAGUUAUGGAAAGACGAUAGUAAUAGUGACUCCUUCCUGUUGGAGAGGAGGCGUAGUGAUAACGCAUCAUAUAAGCUGUUAAAAAUGUUUCCUUGCUCUGAGAAAGUUGGUUACUUCCGAUUAGGGCUUUGUUUUUCCCUGUCAGAUAUCCUCGUCUAACUCAUAGGCAGGCCUAGAUCAAGUAUUUGGAACCUCAUUCAUUAUCAAAGUAUCUACUGCCAAGCCUUGAGUAAAUUAUUUUGUUUCUAGGAAGAUUUAGAUUUUGUGAUACUUGAGCUUUGAGAGGAUUAGUAGAUAUAUAGUAUCCGAUUAGGUGAUUUGCUCAUUUGCAACACUUGGACCGGUGCCAUAAAUUAGAGGUCAAACCGAGUUGUGUACAAGAAUCUAGAUACAAAGAUGUAAGAUAGGAACAGAUAUAGAGCUGGUGACAAUGAGAUAAUAUGUGGUUUUACGGCACAAGAUCUUGUUCAACAGGAGCUACCUCCCUUCAGCUUUGCUUGGAUUAUAGGAAGAUUUGGGAAUGAAAACCAUUUAGCCUUGUGCAAAAUUGGAGAAUCCAAGAGAAAAAAUAUGAUGGGUGUGGGGCUUAUACAAGUUAGCUACACUGUUUGUCAUAACAUCUGUUGAAUCCUUUGAUCAUCUUUACAGUUUUACCACUUUGCAUGCCUGACCUGCAGGUCGUUUGAUGAACUAAAUCUAUGUAAGAUUUAUCUGCAAAUGGCAUCUAAUAGGUAUGCAGAAUUCUGUUGCUACUUUUUAACUUCUCUUAUGAAUUUUCUUAAUAUAGCUACUCACCAUGCUGACAUCUUUUUUCCUUUUUCCUUUUGGAUUUUCGAAGUGACGAUAAGAACAAAAUUGAGUGAUGAUUGUAAAUUUGAGAUGAUAAAAGAUAACAUUUCGUUUAUACUGUGUCAUGUUUUGUUCCUCCAAUUUAAUUCUGCUUCAUAGGUUGGCACAGUUAUUUGGUAUGCUUUGAUCCCUGUAAAAAAACUUCCACACAACUUUCUAAUUGAAUUUUGUUAUGGACCCAAAUUCCAUUUGAUAUUACUGUAUUUGUAAUUUCUUCAACGGUACCACUAGGUUAUUGCAUUGAUUUAGGUGUCUUCAUUUGUUUAAUCUACAUGAAAUCCAAUUAUUACUGAUGAAUGAACCAAAUUUCGAGUACAUAAACAUAGAAGCGAUGACAGCAAAAAGGAUAAAAGAUGCAUUGAAACAGUGGUAAAAGUUCUGUGUGGAGAUGAGAAAAUAUGAACUUUUCUAUGAAUAAAUCUAUUAAUGCACUAGCCAAGUCUGGGAUGGUUUUUCUUACAUCUAUAUGGGAUUCUCCUUGGGUACUUUACCUUCACUGGAUGGAUUGGAUAUUAUCAAAACUGAAAAGACUUAGUUAUACAAUAGUUUGUCUAAAUCAAGGAAGUUCAAACUGUUUCAUAGUUUGGUUGUUUUUGUCAUUAUGUUUGUAUUUUGGAUAAUGUUUUUGGAAUUUUUGUCAAAUAUAUGAUUUUUGUUUAUUUAGUAAAUUUUUAGAUCGAAGCCUAAAUAAUAGUUUAAAUAUAAAAUCUAUUUUAAAUUAAAGGUGUUUAUAGACUGCAUCGUGCCUAUAUAACCUAUUAGCACCAAUUAUAUGGCAAAAUCCGUGGUUUAAGUCUCAAAUUUUAUCAAGUUCAUUUGUAAUUUAAAUUUUUAUUUUUUAAUUAAAAAUAAUUUUUAUUUAAUAUUUAGUAAUUAAUACAUUUUUAUCAAAAAUCUAAAUAUAUACAAACUUAACAUAUUUUUUUAUUACUAUUAUAAUAUAUUUAAAUUUCAAAUGAUAUAAAUGAAUAUAAUAUAAAAUAAAAAUUUGAAAAAUAAGUUAGAUUAGGCUAUGAAUAUUGGAAUUUAGUUUUGACUCAUCUCUUAGAAGGGGUUUAAUUUCUUUUAUGAAAACGUACUUGCUAGGUUUAAUGAAGGAGGUAAAUGUCAAAAUCCCGUAAGUCCCGGAUCCGACGGGCUACAAACAAAGAGCGAUUAAUUGGAAAUGAUGGGGCUCUCAGCCCAUUAACUUUGUAAGUGAGCAAAGAGCGGUCGGUUAGGUCAUCUAAUAGUGUCAGCCCAUGCGAUGACACGCGCCCCGCGGUGGGCCAGUGAGUUUGAAAUUUAAUUUAUCAUGUACUGGAUAAGCACAAAUCGUUUAAUCAUUUUCUUACCAACGGAAUAUCACUGGACUCGCUUUCCUAGCGCGUUCCCUCCACUGACACUUUUUUUUUUUAAUCGAUACAUUAAUCAGUACUAUUUUUUUUAUUCUAUAAUAUCAAUAAUGUUUUUAUUUAUGUUUAGAAAUAAUAAAAUAUUUGUUGUUAAUUAAAAAGAGUUUUGUUUUGUAUGAGUUUACCUUUAACUAUAAAUCUACUAUUAAUCAAUUAUAAUAUAUUUUAAGAAAAUUCAUAUACAAUAGAACUUAAAUUCGAAAUAAUUAAAGAAAAAAUCAUAAAUAAUAUUUAGUACGAUGAGACUUAAAUUUAGACGAUUAGAGUUUUUUAAUGCGUCGACUUUACUAACUUUAUUAAAGUAUUAUAAAUUAAUUAUUGUUAUUGUUAUUUUUUAAAUUUAGUUAUUGUUUUAUUGCUUAAAUGGUUUUCUUUUUAAUUUCAUACAUAAAGUUUAAAUUUUGUUGAAUAUGUUUUUAUUUAAAAUAUUUAUUUAUUAAUAUGCCACGAAAAUUAAAUUAUGGUAUAUUUAUGAUAUAAUAGAAAAUAUAUUUAUUAAAAUUUUCAUAUAAAAAUUAAAUGAAAUUUUGAAUUAAACAAAUUUAAACCUUAUGUGAGAUUUUAUCAAUUUUUUAUAAAAAUAUAAAAUAAAAAAAUUUAUGAUUAAUAGCAAUUCUAUCAGAUGUAGAAUACAAAAAAAAAUAUGGUUGCUUUAGUUUAAAUUAAUUGUUAAAAAUAUUGAAAUAAAAAUUUAAUUAAGCUUAAAUUAAUUAAUUAAAUCAUAUGAGUUUGAGAAUUUAUAAUUCUAGAAUCUCAACUUUGCCAACCUAAAUAAUUAUAAUUAAUCAAGAAUAUUUUUAAGGGAUAAUUAAUACCUUUUAAUACUAAAUAAUAAAUAUAAAACAAAAAACAUAAAGUCUUUAAAACAAACACAAAAUUUAUUUUAUUUUUUCAUUAUAGGAAAAAAAAAAUCACAUAAAGGAGAGAAGCACACACACACACAUACACACACACGCGGCCACAAGCAGCAGAGGGUUUUCGCUGAAAAGAAGCCUUUGUUUUUCUUUUAUAAGCAUCGUUUCAAAAAGGAUAUAAUCUCUCUUUUCAAUUCUUUUUUUGCCUCUUUUAAGCUGCUCCGCCUGCUCCUUCGUUGCUGUGAGAGAGAUAGAGAAGACGACAAAAGGAAAAAACCUAAAACUGUGAACGACGUCGUUUCCUUCUCAGAUCUGACACACACAGAGAGAGAUAAAAGAGAAGAGAAGAGAAGAGAAGAGGGGGGGUUAUCCCGGUGAGAGAGAGUGAGGAUGAGCGGGAAAGGAGGCGGAGGUGGAAAUAAUGGGAUAGGGAAGGGUAAUAAUAGUGGACUUUCAGGUAUUCCGCCUGGCUCUCGCAAGAUGGUCCAGAGCUUGAAGGAGAUUGUUAACUGCCCUGAACCUGAGAUCUAUGCUAUGCUUAAAGACUGUAAUAUGGACCCUAACGAGGCUGUCAAUCGCCUCCUCUCUCAAGGUUCCCCCGCCCUUUUUUUCUUUAUUCCUUUUUUAAAUUUCUUUUAGUGCUCCUUUUACCCUUGCUGGGUUUUUUUUUUCGUUAUAGAAAUAUUUAAUUUUUUCGGUUAUGCGAAAGGUUAACUGUUGGGUUUCGGUGCUUUACUAAGGAUAUAAUCUGCUUAAUUGCUAGGUUUCUUGGUUUGCUCCGAGUGCUUUAGUUUAGAGUGUAUUUCCAGCAAUAACAUUUUUUAUAAUAUAUUAGCAUUUGCUAAUAAUUUAUUAAGCCUUCAUCUUAAUAAGAACAUCGCUUUUGUAAUUCUCGAAAAUAUGUUUAUUUUUUUCAUAACAAUGGGGCAGCUCAAGUUUUGGGUUUCUAAUGGUUACUGUAUUUCAUUGCUGAUAUCUUAUUUGCGAUAUGUGUAGAUCCUUUUCACGAGGUGAAGAGCAAACGAGACAAGAAAAAAGAGGUGUGUGCCAGUGGAAAUUACGCUAAAUGGAUUGACUUUGCAUUCAUAACCAUCCCAUAUUUAUUUCUUCUUAGUGUUGCUGUUACACCGUUCGAGCAAUAUAGGUCUUACUGGUCAUAUAGAUCAUGCAUCAUGUGAGACUCUCACUUGCUUUCGGGAUUACGAAUGAGUGUUUAAUCUGAUUCACUUUUGACCGCAUGUGCUUUCUCUUUGAAAGCUUCUUAAAAAUAUAUUCUAACCAUUUGUGAUGGAUUUGUUGGAUCUUAUUAUCUCUUUUGAUUUUUUUUCCUCCCCUUUUUGUUCUAGAGCAAGGACUCAGUUGAAGCGAGGUCUCGUGGUGCCAAUAACCUUGGGAGUCGUGGUGGUAGGAGUGGUUCAGACCGAUAUGCUGGGCGUGGUGGUUCAUCCCAUUACAGUUCAAAUGGUAUGACUGUGAACAUGCUCUAAUGCCACUUUGGAGAUGUGUUGCUUGCACUCCGUUAAAAAAUUGCUUUGGAACUCUUUUAGAUGAUUCCUUACCAAUUGAGUACUCUUUUUUCUGGUUAGAGUCUGGCCCUUCACAUGGUAAACCUGCACAAAAGAGAGAAAAUGGAGGUCAUCCUGUUGCAGGGUUUUCAUCUUCUGCAUCUGGUAUGCGAGGAAAUAACAUGAAUCGUGGACCUCAAUCCCACAGGUAAUACCUGUUAGUCUCAGAAGUUAUAGUUCCUUUAUGUUUACGCCACUGAGGAACAGAAAGCUGCUAUAAGUUCUGAGUUCUAAUGACCUUUCUUUUUCGUGCAUGUCAUUGGAUUCUUUGUCUUGCUUAAAUGAUAUCUAUUUGUAUCAAAUCAUUCUUUCACGGAAUUAGUUACUUCCACCAUUAAGCCUCCCUGGGUAAGCAUUUGAAAUGAUUAUUAUCAAAGGUGGCUAGUUUGGCAAGGACAGAUGGGACCCUAAUUGUUCCAAAUGCUUGCCAAACCAUGUUAACUGGAGUUUGGACCUGAGGCACUCAAACAUUUGUCAGCAACUUCUUUUCAAACUUUUAGUUGGCUGAAUUUGGUUUUCUUUUUCCCUAUCUUUGGAUGGUAUUUAAAUCUCUGUUCCAUAAACCUUGCAACAUAUGGUUUUCUUGUGUUGGCCACUUUCUUCUCAUGUGAGUUUUGCUGGUUUUGCAGUGAAGUUGCAGUUUCAGAACAUAAAAUUUCCACAGUAGGUUUAGGUGAUGGGGUUUCUUCUUCAUCACAGCCUACUGGAUACCAAUCUGCUUGGUUGGGGGUUCCAGGUCAAGUAUCAAUGGCUGAUAUUGUGAAGAUGGGCAGGCCACAAAACAAGACUUCUGUGGUGCCAAACCCAUCUCAGCAAAGCACUAAUAAUCGGCAUCAUGUGGUUCCUCCUCCAGCAGCAUUACAGUCCAACUUACAGGACCAGGCUUCCAAGGUGGCAGAUAUUUCUUACGAGCCUGAUGGCACCAAAAAUCAGCAGGUUUCUCCAAGAGAUGAAUGGCCCCCCAUUGAGAAUCCAUCUGCUGCUAGUGUGACGUCUGUCUUAGAGGCCCCCGCAGAAUCUGGACUUUAUGCUAAUGCAUCUAACUUGGCCUUGGGUAGAAGUAAUCAACAUUUGAAAUCCCAGUUGGAGGAAUCUCAGGCAGUGGAUGAUGGUCCUCUUGAAACUGUCAAUAAUAACCAUGUUAGGUCCCCUUCUAUUUCAAGUAGAAAUAUACAAGAGGAUAACUCCAGAGGUUCAUCUCUUUAUGAUAACGACUUAUAUAAGGACGUGAAUUCCUAUCAGCCUCAAAGACCUGCCUUUGAGAACGAAGAAGGUUAGUGUAGUGCUUUAAAUCACUCAAUUUUGUGCGUUUUCUGAUGAAGGUAGUAUACUGCUUUGAUGAAUGUUUCACUCAGUAUGAAGGAUACAGUACUGAUUAAGGCUUGUAUACACUGAAUGCAAUUUCUUUGACAACCCAUUUCUGAUCUUCAUGCAAUAUGGAUAUGUAUGUUUUAGGGUUACUGUAUUGCUUAUGUUCUCCCUCUCCCAAUGACAAUAUCCUAUGUUGCCAGCAGCUUCUGAUUUUUUUAUUAUCAUUUUCUUCCCCUUUAUAUUAUGUGGAUAUGUGAGGCCGAACAGAAUAAAAUUGGAGUGUAGGAAAACAAUUGAGAACCCGGGGGGGGGGGAUGGUUUAGUUCCAAAUUAUUGAUGCACUAUGAAUCUAUCUGAGUAGGUUUAGUUCAUACAUUGGUAUGGAAUUUUUAAUCUUUUAAUGUAUCCUUUGCUCAUUUUUAUCUGCUAUGAAUGUCUUUUGAACUUAACACAUUUUAUGUCCUUUCUUUUGUUCUUUUUCAGCUGAAGAUGGUUCUUCAUCAGUAGCUGUGGAUUUGCAGCAACUUAAUUUGCAUAAUGAUGAUAGGGAGCCCCCAACUGAAGAGGAUAAUCCUUCUGUAAUAAUUCCAAAUCAUCUACAAGUCCACACCCCGGACUGUUCGCAUUUGAGUUUUGGUAGUUUUGGACCUGGAAUUGGUUCUGGCUUUUCUGGACAAUUUGCAUCAAUGACCACAAAGAAUAAUUUGGAUGAUGUUCCUGAAGUAGCAGAUGCAUCAUCUAUUGGGCACUCAGAUAAUAGGUAUGACCUUCUUAAAAUGCUUAGUGCCUUGCUUCACUUAUCUGUUUGUUACAAUUGUGUAAAAACUUUUGCUUUCAGGAAUCCUGAGUACUAUGGUGAUGAACAUCUCAGAAGUGACACGGAAGGAAAUAUAAUAAAUAGAAGUAAUGUUAGCACUGCAAACUAUGAGGUUCCUGAAGAUUCUCAACCUGAGGUUUUGAAACAGGAUGUUUCUGAAGCUGCCCAAGGGAGCCAAUAUUCAUUUCCUCCAUCUGCGUCUGGUUAUAACUAUGAAAACUCUGAACAAUUAAAUCCUUCUUUCGCCCAUAUGCAGACAAGCUCUCAAAUGCAAAAUCUCAAUCCUUUCUCAAGUGUAAUGGUAAUGCAACUUUACAAAUUUGUUUUUAAUGCAUAAACUCUAUCAUUCCAAGCUGAUGAUUCAACCAUAUGCCAUAGAGUUGGAUUAGAAAUUUUCUUUAAUGUAUAAUGUUCUGGUUGAUACUUGAUAGCGGCAUCUUGUUUACUCGAUUUCAAGAAAACUCCUGUUGUGCUGCUUGAAAUUAUGGAUUAAACCUACUAUAUUUUUGGAAUACAUUGUUAGUUUUCUUGAAUGUCUGUCUCUUCUCAACAUAAUGGUUUUUCUUACAGCAACCAUAUACAAACUCGUUGCCGAGCACUUUGUUGACAUCAACUGUUCAGACUGCAAGGGAGCCAGAUCUUCCAUAUUCACCCUUUCCUGUGACUCAGUCAAUGCCAACAAGAUAUAGCAAUGCCACCUCUUCCAUUAGUGGUCCAACCAUUUCUAUGCCAGAGGUACCCUUUGCUUUAUAUUAUUGAUUUCUUGGUGCUUUUACACUUUUUGCAGUUCUAAUUGUUGGGACUGUUUUUAAUGGUUCAAGUGGCCAAGAAGGGAAAAAAAUAUUGUUCCUUUUUUUUUCUUGCUAACACUUAUGGUGGUCUUAUUUCAAGAUUCUUCUGAAGAUGAAACUUCAUCUUGUCUGAUAUUGGAGCUAUGCGUCAUUUUAGCUGGAACUUUAUGUUGUUUAGUGUCAUUGUGUGUCUUCUGUCAUGUUUAUAUGUUUGACUAGAUAGAUUUUUGGUUGUGAAAACUCAUGUUCUAUGGUGACAUGGAAAUGUCCUCAAACUCUUGUUUCUUGAUAUGGAACAGUGACCUUUGACUACUUCUGUCCAUCACUUUGUUGUCCCGAAUUAUGCGUCUGUCUCUACCUGAUAUGCAUUUAUUAUUAUUGCGGGAUCCACUUUUUGGGGAAUGAGUCAAAGCAAGAACAAUAAUAUUUCUUGUGGAACAUCUUUCAUGAUCCUUGGAGAGAGUUCACUAGUAGAUUUGGUUUGUUUCUCUUUUUUUUUUUUUUAAUGCUUGUGUUGGAGUAAAAGGAGGAGCAAAAACACCCAAAAACAAGAGUUAGGGGUGGGGGAUGGUAAAAUGUGAAAGGCCAAUUUGGACACCUACCUAACUAAAAACAUUUUGUAAUUGGUUGGACUUAAUUGUUCCUUUCUUGAUUAACUUGUUGUACGUGUGCAGGCUCUAAGAGCAACUAGUAUUUCUGCAGCGCAGCCCACAGAGCAGUCACUGCCUGGUGCGAGUGUUGCUACAGGACCUGCACUUCCGCAACAUCUAGCCAUGCACCCUUUUUCCCAACCUACACUUCCAUUGGGACACUUUGCCAACAUGAUUAGUUAUCCUUUCUUACCUCAGAGUUACACCUAUAUGCCAUCAGCUUUCCAGCAAACAUUUACUGGUAAUAAUAACUAUCCUCAGUCCCUGGCAGCAAUGCUCCCCCAAUACAAGAACAGUGUUUCUGUAAGUAGCUUGCCUCAAUCUGCUGCAAUUCCAUCUGGCUAUGGGUUUGGGAGCUCUACCAACAUCCCUGGAGGACUUCCUCUGAAUCCACCUACUGCACCUGCGGGGACAACUAUUGGCUACGAGGAUGUUCUUAGUUCUCAGUACAAGGACAACAAUCAUUUAAUGUCACUCCAGCAGGUAAUUGCUGUACAGAGCAUUGAGAAAUCUCAUUUAGAUUUAAUUGUAUACAUUCAUUACUAUGGAUUUAUGGUGCAUGAAUAAUUUACAUUCAUUCUUAUUGAAAGUACUGAUGAAAAAAUUGUCCUUCCAUUUUCUUCCUUUACUCUCAAAGGUCCAUGAUUUCAUGUAGUGCUACAGUUAUACAUGAGUUCGCAUUCUUUUCUGCUUCUUUGAACCUGAAGCGUGCCCUUUCUUUUCUAUGUUUUUGUGUUUAGAAUGAGAAUUCAGGCAUGUGGAUUCAUGGCCCCGGCUCACGAACGAUGUCUGCUGUUCCUGCAAGCACAUAUUACAGCUUCCAGGGGCAGAACCAGCAGGCUGGUGGGUUUCGACAAGGGCAGCAACCACCUUCACAGCAUUUUGGGUCACUUGGAUACCCAAAUUUCUACCAUUCGCAAACGGGAGUAUCGCUGGACCCUCAGCAGCAAAACCCUAGGGAUGGGUCCCUGAGUGGGUCUCAAGGCCAGCCACCAUCAAAGCAGACCCAGCAGUUAUGGCAAAACAAUUACUAAUCUCGUCUCCUCCUGGUUUUUCAGGGUCUUAUAGUGAGUUUGAAAGUGGCCAAUCAAAGGGCCUUCUAGCGACUGAGAAUAACUAUACGUGCAGAUCAUCAACAAUGAUGGGGUCUGAAGAGACUUUGGCUGGCUACUGCCCUGUGCCAUGAGGUUGUAUUCUACUUUUAAUUUAUUGUUCUGUUCUGUUCUGUUAUGUUAACUUAGGAACACAGUGUGCUAAUUUGGGAUAGUGGACUUACUUUACCCUUUUCACUUUUUCUUCCUUGAUUGUUUCCUUCUUUGCCCCUCUAUUUCUCUUAUAGUAAAAAAAUUGUCUCCUUUUUCAGAUUUCAUAUCUCAUCUCAUGUUUCUUACUCUUACUGUACUGUAGCAUGAGGUAUUUGCUUUAAUCAUUUAUAAUUAAUUAAUACUACCAUUUUAGCCUGUUAUCUUUAUGCUACACUGCUACAUAUCAUGGCUGUUGGGAUCCAUAACUCCCAUUAGCUAUUAUUGUUGCAAUAAUUUUGUUUCGUACGACACUGUGUAUAUAUACACAAAUUAAUCAAUUUAAACAAUUCACAUACCAGAUAGAAGAAUUCCAUGGAGUGGCCUUUAAUUUCUUUGAUAAAAUAGAGGCUUUGCUUGAUUAAAACCCACCCAUAGCAUAGUUCUGAGUUCACACCUAAGGCUUUCGUACCCUAUGCUAUUGUUUAUUGUUAUAUUUUGGGAUGUUUUGAAAAUUUGCUGUUUGUGCUUUCAUUAGAGGGUCAUCUUUACUGAUUAUAAUUAAGAUGGUAAUAUCUAGGGUUUUAAUUCAAACAAGUGUUCACACUCUGCGAUUUUUACUUGUAAGUGAAUGGAAGGAGAUUUAACUAUUAAUGUCACACUAUUGAAUUAAAUUUAUGUCAUAAAAUUAAUAUUUUUUUAAUUGCUACAAAAAUGAUCACUUUGGUCGUUUAUUUGGAAUCGAAUGCAAUGUUGUUUCUUUUUUAAUUUUUCAUGCCCUGUACUAUUUUGAGUUCAUAAAUAUUUUAAGUGAGUUGGAGUAGUUAAGCAGUAUCCAUUUGUGGCGCAAUUAAUAGACAGGUGUGAGAUGUUUCAGCAAAGUUGUCACCCACUUCACUCAAAAUUUCAAUUCAAAGUUCAAACUAACUUUUUCUAGGUCUAAUUGUGAUCAAAACCUCUAACUAUUCUCAAAUGUAAAUUUUAAUAUUUCUGCUUUAGUGACUACUUGCUUUGAUCAAGUAGCUAACUAUUUGACCUAACCAAUAAUAAAAGAUCCAUUACAUGAAUUAAAUAUGGAAUUUGAGCAUAGUGAAAAAACCAAAACCCCGACCCUGUCUCUACUUCUCAAAGAGUGUAGUUGAAAUAACGCCAACAUUUGGAGACUUGCUAAACCAAAACCAACAAAAGGAUAAAGGAAAAAAAGCAUGGUAUUAAUCCAUUUAUUUCGGAUUGUUCUACAGAUUAUCAGUUGUAGACAGCAACAAAAUGUUAUAACAAUAACUUGGAAAAAAAUAUGCUAUCAGCCAUCUACUUUUGACCCUUUUUUACCAGACAGCAACCUCUGCGAUUUUACAAUACCCUGGGGUCCUUUUAUAAACUUUUUUUGGACACUUAAUGCACGCUAUAAAAUCCUAAUCCAAUGAAUAAAAUUCAUUCCGGUUUUUGUCGAGAGCAAACCGACAGUUGGUGGGCAUGUUUUCCGCGUGAACCGAUAUCACAUAUCUGGAAAAAGAAAACAUCGGAAAAUUCACUGGUUAUAAUCCGAAUACGAACUGAUAAAAUGUAAUAAAUCUGAUGCAAUAUCUAUUCUAAUCACAAUUCUCCAUGGAUAGAUGACAGACGAUAUUUGGUUAGCAAACUAGGUACAACAUUCAACAGGACAAGCUUGAGGAAACUUCGACCGAACAUGAAAUGCUCAUAUCCUAUUAAGUCAAUAGGAUCUGCUUUUAUUCUGUUCAUAACCUCAUAUGCAAGUAAUCCUUAGCAGAUUUAAUAAAACACCAUUCUCAUAAAGAAAUGAUUCAAAAUCCUACAGCAGCGAGGUCAUGUGUGUUCGAUUUUCAAUAAUCGGAACAGAGUCAAACCCAAUUCCAACAAUCCUACACCAAGUCUUAAGACCAAACAGGCAAAAUGCAAAGCUUCAACAGUGUGAAAAAAACCAACAUCAGAUUCCAUAUGCAGAGACCAUAUCAGAAGAUGUUCACAAAUUAAGACACUGUUAUAUCAAAUGCAAGCAUUGAAAUAUGUAAACUUCAUAAAUGGAAAAACUAUAUCAACUGCUAGCAUUAUUACAUUGAACAUUAAACAACAACAAAUUGACUUCAACUACUAGAUCCUUAAAUUCAUCAAACAACCACCAAACCCUAAAAAUGCUGUAACAUGCAAAGUGUUCUUUUUCUUUAUUUAUUUAUCAUGUCUUUGUUUAAAAAAACUUACCCUAAAUAUUGAAUGAAUCUUCAAUUUUUCCCCAUCAUGACUUUGAAACAGGCUUUUGCAACAAAGCAGACAAAUAAACUUCACCAUGUUUCAAACCACUAGGAUCUGUCUUGUUAGCCACUGCCCAUUUCACUUUCUUGUAUCCAAGCUUACCAAUCAAUGGCCCAUAAAUUUUCUCAAGAUCCACUGCUUUGCUAAAGAAUCGAUCCACCCACAAGUACCCACCACCUCUCAACACUCUAUCCACAUCGUAGAACAUGAAUUCCAUCACCGACAAUGGUAUCCACCGGUUCACCGCUCUCCCACACCGGACCAGAUCCAUUGUGCCGUCGAAAACUGGGAACCUUUGUUGUAAAGGCACGUGUAAUGGCACUAACCCCCUUAAUGCCACGGCUUCAUUGUAAGGCGCAUUGACGUUCAUGGUGGUGGUCAACAUCGUGACGUUGUAGGAUUUCUUCAUUAAUGCAGCGAAAGUUCCGGUUCCACCGCCUAUGUCAAUACCGAGACGGAUCGGUGAGUUAGCCGAUUUGGCCAAUUGCAUGAACUGCGUCAAGGGAAGAUCGAGUUCCGAAGUGUAUUUUAGAAGGGAAGAGCGUUGAGCGUUGAGAUCGAACCCAGUGGGGUUGUUUUGAGACAAACAAGCGAAAGAUUUACACGAGUAUUUGUUCCAUAUAACGCCGGAAUCGGGGAGUGAAGUCGGGAAAGGAGUUAACGGAAGUGAAGAAGGCGGUUUCGAUGGGGUUCUAGAAAAACAACGCCGCCGUGGAAGUGGGUGACAGCCGUUAAGAAUAAGCGUCUCUUGGAUGUCAGGAUCGUAAGGGCAAGUCGAAAAAGGAGUGUAAUUCAUAUACCUAUGAAGAAGAUCAGGAUGGUUGUGACAAGAAGAAGCAAUGGGACCGAUCUGAGAGUGGAGGAUAAGAUCUCGAGGUACAGCAGAACUGGGUUCAGCAGUGGUGGAUGAAGGAGGGUUAUGGCGCGUGAGGUGGUUAAUGGUGGCGCGUAAGGUGUUAAGCUGUCGGAGAAGGUGGUCAGGGACGGGAACAGGGGGAGGAGGGUUGGGAGAUUGGACGGUGGAAGAGAGAUGGUAAAGGGAAAGGAUAUUGGUAGCUACCAUGACUAAGAGGAGAACGAAGUUCAAACCCAUGGUGAAACCCAUUGAAUUUCUGGUCCUUCCUCUACGGCUACGCUACUUUUUUCCCUUCUGAGAUGCUUCGAUUCUUGGGUUUUUGUUAUUCUCGAUCUUGGUGAUUCUUAACUUCACAGGUUUUUGUCUGAUACUUACUUAAUUUUUUUGGUGUUAUAAUUUUGGAGGUUUUAACUCGUUUCCAACUUCAAUCCUCACUUCUCAGUGUCACUGUCUCUCACAUGUUUUUAUUUAAUAAUUUGAUUAAUUUUAAAAUUAGAUUAAUAUAAUUCUGUACCUAUAUUUAAUUUUAAUGUUUAAUUUAUAUUUCAAUUUUUUUUAAAUUCACCUAUGGAGUUUUAAUUUGAUUGGUGUGAAUAUUAUUAUCAAUAUAAGAGGACAUAAGUUUAAAUAUGCUAAAAUUAUAAUCUCCUAUUUAUGGAUUGGGGAAGGAUAUUGACACUUUAAUAUUUAAAUUUUUUUUAAUUAAGCACCUAAAUUUAGUUUCACUAUUUAAUUUAAUAACAUAAUUAAAUAAAUAUCUGAAUUUAGUUUCAAUGUUUAAUUUAGUAAUUAAAUUUUUUUUUUAAAAUACACAUGUCAAAUAUUCAUUGGAUCAACAUAUUAUCAUUUGAUCCAAGUAUAAAAUGAAUAUUAAAAUUAAAUACAGAUACCAAAUAAUAUAUUAACUCAAUAUUUAAUCACUUCACUCACGAGUGACCUGAAAUUUUCUUACAAAUUUGGCCUUGAGUAUUGUCUGGGUUUUCAAUUAUAUUACGUAGUACUGUUUAAGUGGGGAAUUUUUAGAUUUGAUUUGGGAGAUUGGAUCUGAACCGUUAGUUAUAGUCAGGUGGGGUCAAUCAAUGCAGUUUAGGAUAGAAUGAAUCGAAAGCAAAAGGAUGCUUAUUACAAUUUGCAUAUAUCUCUGGCUCUAUGUUGCUAGUUUUUUAAAUAUGUUUUUAAAGCAAUCAUAUAAAUAUUAUUUUAAAAACUAUAAAAUCUGAAUAUAUAUAUUUAUAUUCGAUAUUAACUUAUAUAUUUAUAAAUAGUGACGGAGCAUAAUAGAGAUCAUAAAUAAUGACUUCCCCUAAAAUAAUAAAAUUUUAAUUUAUAUCAUUUAUAAUUUAUAAAAUUUUAAAUUAAUAAUGAUAAAAUUACAUUUUAUCUAAAAAUAAUAAAAAUUUAAUUUAUUAAAAAAAUAAAAUUAUAUUUUUAUUAUAAUAAAAAUAUAUAAUUUAAUUUCGAUUUUCUCAAAAAAAAAAAACUCCGCUGUUCAUGUAAAUGAGAUGGUGUAUUAUUCACGAUUGAUGAAUUUAUGAACGAAUAUUAUAAAAGAGGGGGAAAAAGAACCGGUGUCACGUGAUAUUAGGAUCUACUUGGAUUUAUUAAAGCAAUUUCUUGCAGAUUUGAAUUAUAUAUAUACUAUAAAAUAUUGUUGGGGAAGCUGUCGGCCUGUCAUCCUCUUCAACAUUUGAAAGGGACACUGAUACCUUUCCAUUUUAUUGAGGAAAUAUCUAAAUUCAAACCAAUCAAUUUCAAAGAAAUUUGAUUAGUCCUAAAAUGUUAUUCAACUAGUAAUUUUAAUUGAUAUAACCUAAAUUGAAUUAAAUUUAAAAUAAUUUAAACAAAAAAAAUUCGACUGAGUAACUCAAAAAGAUUUGCAUUCAAAUUGAUAAGAGAUUAUAAUGAUUCAACUUGAAAAAUCAAUCAUCAAGCCUUAAUAACUGGACCAAAAAAAUUAAAUGCGUAUACCUAGAUACAAGGUGAUGUAAUGGGUCGAAGCGAAGUUAGAUUAUUUGUCCAAAACAUUGGAUUUGAGUAAGACCCAAGUUGAGUCAAUCCGAGCCCAACCCAAUGAUCCUUUCUUUUUGGUUAAUAAUUUAAAUGGAAAAGAGAAGUGAUUUUAAGGUAAAAUCGAACAUAAAUCGCGUCCAGCUGAAGCUAAAAGCCUGCGGAAAUCUCUCUCCAGUGAAGAAGCCUUUGAACCUACAGUCUUUGGUGGAGGAGAUCCACUGACUCUCUAAUCAAUGGUAUUCUUUUCAAUUUUCCUUUUGAUUCGUACUAAGUUUCUCAGCAACCAAACAUCUAAUUAGGGUUUCAUUCCACUGUCUUUGUUUGAACCUUUCUUUUUCUUUUUUAUUUGUCCGUAAUUAUUAAUUCUCAACUGUUAUAUUUGUUUUUGGGAGUAAUAGUAGUUGAUGACUUUUAGUUUAAUAAGAAAAAAAGAGGAAUAAAUUUAGGUUUUUUUGGAGUAUAGAGUACACUGUGAUAGUGAAUUUUGUUUUUUUCUCUGGAACAGGGGAUUGUAAUAAAUUUCGUAAUUUUUGUAGGCUGAUCCUGAACUAGAAGCAAUUAGACAAAGAAGGAUGCAAGAGUUAAUGGCUCGACAGGGGGUGGUAAUCUAUUUCUUUUUCGUUUUAAUAUCUAGGAAUUCUAGAUUGGCCUGCUUGUGCUUUUAAUUUAAUGUUACUAAUUGUAGUUUGUUGAUAAACAGGGGAAUCAACAGAACCCUGAACAACAGAAAGCUCAGGAAGAUGCCAAGAGGUCAGUUUCUUAUAUAGAUGCAUAUUGUUUCUAAAUCAUUAAUAUUUUAAGAUUUAUUUUGGGAUCAAAUUAGUUCAUUGAUUUGACUAGUAAAAGCCAUUAACUUAGGGAGGCAGAUGAACGGAGGCAAAUGAUGCUUAGUCAGAUUUUGUCCAGUGAAGCACGCGAGAGACGUAAGCUCCUAUCUCAGUUCACCAUUUGAGUUGAUUCAAGAAGCCUACUGUUAAUUGCUUAUAUGCUUAUUAGUACGUGCAUUCUAUCAUUAAUUGCAGGCUAUUCUAAGUUGUUUUAUUUAACUAUUAGUUAUUAAUGUUGGAUUCUGUAUUUAUGGUAAUCAAUGGACUGUUAAAUCUUUGAAUUUAAUAUACUUGUCUUGUCAGAAAAUGUUUGUGCUUUCUAAGGGCUUAUUAGUAUUUAUUUAUAUUGUUAUAAAAAAGUAUUUAUUUAUAUUAGUUUGUGUAUAAGAUUUUGGAUCUUAAACCAGUUCACGAGUUAGCUUUCGUAUAAACUUUUUUGAAUACUUAUCGUUUAAAAAUAACAAAAAAAAUUUGAGUAGUGAACUCGUGCUUCAGGAAGCAUGGAGAAGUGUGCUUAUAAGUAUUUAUUUAUAUUAGAAAGAGUGAAGACCUAAUUCGAGUGCGAGUUCAAAAAAUUCUGGAAGACUUGAUUAGAAGUCCUAGAAUGAAAAAUGCUAUAAUAGGCCUGGUAGCAAUAUAUUGUUUCUCAAAGACUGAAUUUGAUCUGUUCUCUUUGAUGGUGAAGACUUAUCUUAGACUUGAAUUAUGUAGUGUGAGAUAUCUGAAUAUAAAGGUCUUUAAAAUCUGAGUUGAGUUAUAAAAUGGUAAGUAUGAAUCAUAUAGUAUGCAGUUUUUAGAAAACUCCUACCAAAUACAAACAGUGCAUAAAAUCGUUUGAAGAUACAUCCCUUAUGCCAUUGUAAAUCUUUCAUUCGUAUAUCCCCUAUACUAUUGCCUCCCCUAUACCUCUUUGAAAUUACAACGGAGCUAAAAACGAGAAGAAGACAUGAUCAUGAAGGAAAAAUAGUACAACUUCCUAAUGACAGGCAUAUAUGGCAGAUGCUCUUUUUGCUGUACUUUUUACCAACAUAUAAUUCCUUUCAUUUAAGUUCUUUGCUGUUAUAUAACUUUGUGCAGUUGCUCGAAUCGCCUUGGUGAAACCUGAGAAGGCUAGGGGUGUGGAGGAUGUUCUACUAAGAGCUGCUCAGACAGGCCAGAUAGUUGAGAAGGUAUGGUGAAAAUUUUCUGGUCCAACUACUUUUUCUUGCUUGCCUAAUAUUAAGGGUGUGCAAUUAUUUAGUAUUACUUUGCAGCCAAGCUUUGAUAAAGAACUGAAAUGUGUAUGGUUGAACCCUUGUAAAGGUUUCAGAGGAGAGGCUUAUAUCGCUGUUGGAACAGAUAAACACCCAAACAACUAAACAGACCAAAGUCACCGUAAGUUAUUUACACGUUACCGACUUGCCCUGUCUUUAACGUACUCAGCCCAUAGUUAGAAACUAUUUUGAUUUGCUUCCAUUAUUUAUCCGAUUUUACAGAUCCAGAGGCGUCGGAGUGUCCUCGAUGACGAUGAUUAGAUCAAACUUGAACUGUGAAAACCUCUGCCUGAUUUGUGGGGUAUAUUUAUAUAUUCAUGCAAUUAAUGGACCAGCUUUUAAUGGAUUCUUGAUAUAUUUUAAGACUUGUAUUUCCUCUGCAAUGCUGUUAUGGUAUAUUGAGCAAUAAAGCUGGCGGGUGCUGGCUUAGAGUUUUAAAGAGUAGUGUGAAAAUGCUCUGUAAGUUAAAAUAUUGUAGAGGUUUGCUAAGUGAUGCUUCAUAUGAAAACUUGUUUUCUUCUUCUUUCUCCUCUUUAAAACCGAGAACUCGAAAAGUUUUUGCAUAUGCACAUUUUACUUAAAAAAUAGACAAAUUAUCCCAUGUAAAUUAAAUAAACAAGCAAAUCGGUCAUUUCUAUUAAAAGUUUCAUCCAUGAAAAUUUAACAGAAUAGAUGAAAUUUUUCGCACGUUUUUAAAUUUGGGUAAAUUUUGGUAAGUCACUUGUUAAACUAUCGUCAAUUUUUUUUUAUUAAAAAGUUGAUUGGACCAAUAGAAUUUAAAUAUUCAUAUAUAUAUGUGAAUUGUAGUGGUUAAGGAUCAAAUUAAAAAGAACCCUCUUAAAAUAAUUUUAAAAAUCAAUUAAAUUUUUAAUUGAAAAUCACAUUCAAUUAGGGUGUUAAAUGAAAAAUUAACAAUUAAUUGAACUCUUAAAGAUAAUUUUUCCAUCGAAAUUUUUUAUGAUUUAUCAAGUGAUGACAUAAUUGAUGAUGUAGAGUGACAUUCGAUUAGAAAGUUUAAUUGAUUUUUAAAUUAUUUAUGAUGGCUUUUUAGUAUUCAAGCCACUCAAAAAUUUUGACAGACUUCAAAAUAAUUAUAAAAAAUCAAGCUAGGUAAGAACUUUUUUAAAAAUAUUAUAAAUAUUAUGAAAUUUCUAAUAAUAUUUUAAGAAAGCCAAAAAAAAUCUAAGAAAUUAUAAAUUUUUUUGAAACUUUUAAGAUUGAAAAUUCAACCAAUAAAUUUAAUUAGCACAUUUUAAACUUACAUUUACUGUACAAAAUAAAUUAGUCUUUCAACUACUGUAUAAAAAAUCCUAAUUUUCUUUAAAGAAUGCAACUAAAAUAAAAAUAAAAUAAAAAUAUUUUUAUAACAGUAAUAUUAAGGAUGCCUCUUUCUAUUGAUUUAUUUGAUUGUGAAUUUAAAGAAAUAAUUUAGGUUAGUUUAGUGCAUAAGCUAACAUAUAUACAACAUUUACAGAUAUACAAAUCAAUUAGGCAAAUAAAUUACUUGGGCAACAAUUUUUUAUUAAAUUUAUUUAUUUUAAUUUUUUUUAAAGUUUUCAUUUUCCAUUUUAAUUUUUAAAGUCUUUUAUUUUUCAUAUUAUUUAUUAUAGACUUUUCAAUUUUUUUUAAAAGAUUCCUUCUAAAAUUUUUAGAGUUUUUACCAUGCUUAUUUGUCGUAUUGUUAGGAAUUUUGAUUAAAAAGUUAAUUUUACAAGCUUAAUGGAUUGCUAUUUUCUUAUUAAGAUUACAAUGUGUGAGCUUAAUUAAUUUUUAAAUUAUUUUAUGAGAUUUUUUUAAAGAAUUUAGCUAAUAAUUAAUGGGGUUAUUAAUUUAAAUUUUUUAAUAAUACUACAAAAAAUUAAAUUUUGGGUUCUCUUUUACAUAUUAGGAUUAUUAAUGGAAAGGGUUAACACGUAGUUUGUCUCUUAAAUUUGUUUUAAAGUACUUGGUAUAGAGCAGUGGUUGAAGUUCUUGUUAGACAUAAGUUCAAAUUAUAUUAUCCCAUCCCCUACCUCAAAAUUUUAUUAAAAAAAAUACCUAGUUGAUAUCUUUUUUUUUUUUUUACUUAGUUGACAUUUGAAUUUGUAUUCCGUCACACAAGUUGUACAUCUACACUAAUGUUGUUAGUUUAUGCUGAUGUAACAUUGAUAAUCAAUCUAGUGAUGACAUGUGGUAUAACCUCUCAAGUAUGCCACGUGGAAAACAUAAAUAAAAAGUAAAAUAUUUAAAAAUAUAUAAACUAAUAAAAAACUACUUAAAAACACAUCAUGAAUAAAUCUAGCCAAAUGGGUGUCUAGAUUCAGAUAUAUCUAGAAAGUCAUUUAUCUAAAUUCAUUCUUGCUAUAAAAAGUGUACAUUUUUUAUUAAUUUAUAUAUUUUUUAAUUUUUUUAUUUAUAUUUAUCACGUGAUAUAUCGAAAAAUUAUUACGUGUCAUAUUAUAUCAAUAUAAACUAAUCAUAUUAGUACAACGAACAUAAAUUUAAAUACCAAUCGAGUGGAAGUGUAAUGUAGAAGCAAUGAUGUUGAAAACAUACCUAAUCCAUGUUGCCCAUUCCAUCGUACAGCUGACUCAUUGGUUUAAUUUGGAAUUGACUUUGACUUUUGUACGUCUUUUAACUUUUUAUCUCUCAAUGUCAACACAACAUGUCAUGUUUUGUCUACCUCAGCCUGCCCAAUAAAUGCCUAAGUUUUCCUUCCUCGUGUUAAAGUCAAUUGCAAACUCACAAACCCCUCCUACCACCUUCAUCCAUUUAUACUUUCCAAUUAAAUAUCGUGUUUUUUUUUCGAAUAAAAAUAAAUAUACCUCUUGUCUUUAACAUCACUUCUGCAUGGUUUUGGUUUAAUUUUAUGUUAGGAUUUUUGUUUUCAUAUAUGGAUGUAAUGUUUGAGUAUAAACAUUUUUUUUCUCUAAAAUUAACUUUUUUCCAUAAGUACAAGAGUGACCAACUUGUUAUAUUAUUGGUAAAAGGAAUCAAAAUCCAAAUUUUAUGUGACUUUUAUCUUUUAAUAUUUUAAUAAUAAAAAAAUAAAACAAAUCUAAUAUCUGUUGUUGUUUUUUUUUUUUUUUUUUCAUUUCAAGAAUUAAAGAUGUGGGAACUGGGAGGGUGAAAAAAAGAAAUAAAGAAAAGAAAGCCGCAUUCAUGUGUUUGUAGGUGUAGUAAUUUGACUUCAACAAUGUAUUUGCAACUUGCAUCCUCUACAACCAUUCACCAAAAAAAGAACAGAUAUUUUUCAUGCUUUUAGUUUUCUUUGAUCGCUGUCUUCCCCACUCAUUCAUAUAUUAUUACAUUAUGAUACAUGUAUAAUAUAAAUAAUAAAAAUUACGAAAUAAAUUUAUAAAAGGAAACAAUAUAAAAAUAAUCAUGAUGUCUUUAGUUUAAAUAAAAUUAUAUAUAAGGGUGGAUCCGGAAAUUGGCAAGGGCUUCGGCCUCUCUAAAAUAAAAAAAUUUCUAUUUAGACCCUUUAUAAUUUAUAAAAUUUUUAAUUAGUAAUGGUAAAUUUGUACUUUAUAUAAAUUGACGAGUAACACCAACUCAAUUGAAUAUAUAUAUACAAAAAUUCUAUUUUUUUUUCUCAUUCUCAAAUUAAGAACAAAUAAAUUAAGUUUUGUUUGCUGGACAAACAUUUAAUGAGAAAAAAAAAACUCUAAUCAGAACUGUUUAAUGGUUUGAGUGUCAUUAAAACUUAAUGCAAUUGCAUGCAGUAAUUAACAGAUAACAAAGAAACCUACAAAAACAUUUACAGAGCAGUCUUGAAAUCAUUUCUUCUUACAUUUGAUUGUGAAAGAUUUUACAUGGAGAAAGUGACACAUGUGUUCUUCUUAUAUAGACUACAAACCAUAUAUAUAUAGAGAGACAGAGGGGUUAGGGAAUUUGAAUUGAAUUCUUAAACUGAUAAAUGUAAACAAGUAAAAACAAAACCUUUGUUAUGGGUACUUGGAAUUAAAAUAGUUAGAAUAUUGUAUUUUAUUCAUUUAUCACUUUUAGUUUAGGUUUUCUCCACUUGAAGAUGGAUGACAUAAGAUAAAAGAUAAAUAUUGAUGGUGCAAUGUGUAUAAUGUCUGGGAAUGCUUCAGUUGGAGGAGUAAUCUAGGACAAGCAUUUCUAGGUUCUCUAAAUAUAUUAGUUGUUGUUUUGCGCUCAACGUCGAGUUUUGGGGAGCUUUGGAGAGGCUUCAAAUAGCUCGGAGUCUAGGCCUUCAACAGGCUGUGCUUGAGAUGGAUAGAAUGACAGUUGUCCAUUUGGUUCAAACAGUGUCAGGGAAGUUUCGCCAUUCAACUAUGUUACGCACUAUUAAAGAUCUCUUUCAGUGUUUUUGGGUAGUUCGAGUUACACAUGUCUUUAGAGAAGGUAGCCAAGUCGUUGAUGAUAUGGUAGCAAUGGUGUUUUCAAAACCUUAGGGCAGAUAUAUUUAUCUACAACCCCCGAAUGAAAUCUUUCAAAAGCUACAAGACAAUUGUGCUGAAGUGGUUUGGCCUCGAUUAAUUUAGUAUAAUCUUAUUUUUCGAUUAAUCUACAUGAAGUUGAACAAGAUUUUUGCUAAUUUCUUGCAAAUAAAAUUAUUAGGCUAUUUCUUUUCUUAUAAAUUGUUGGAUUGCUGAUUUUUAAAUAAAAAAUUUAAGUUGAAAUGCUCAACUAACAUAGUAAUACACCAACUAUUAUAUACAGAAGGUUUUUAUAUCAAUCUAUUACUUAAAAUACAUAAAAAUUGAGGAAUCAAUAAAAGUGGAAUAUUUGGAAUGAAGUGUUUAAAUUUGAGUCUCGUCCUGCAAAGAUUAUGUAUAAAUUAAUUAAUUAUCUUUAUUCAAUUCAAUAUUUAUGAUGAUUUAUUUUAAUUAAAACAAUUAAUUAUAAUUAAUUAGAUGAAAGACUUAAAUUAUACCAAAUAUUAUCCGCUGAACUUACCUCUAUCUUUCCAUGAAAACUGAUUUAACUUGAGUCACACUCUUUUAUCAUUAGAUGAACGACUUUAAUGGGUACAAUUAUGCUCCAAAUCUUGGAUUCUUUUGGCAGUAAUGUAUAAGUUGUUUGGUUGACAGAGUCAUAAAUUGAUAAAACUAAGCAUCGUUUUGCGUUCAUAACUAAGAUUAAGACUGUUGACCAAACUAUGCACUUCAUUUUAAAGGAAAAAAAAAAUCAUAAAUUAGCCCACCAAUAUAAAAAAAAAUCGAUUGAAUCUUAACUUGAUUGAUAAUGGUAUUAUUGUCAGUGUAAGAGAUUGUGAGUUUGAGUGUGUUAAAGCGUAUUAUCUUCUUAUUUAAGAGUUAAGAAGAAAUUAUAGUUAAUUUUAAACCUUAUAUAAUAAAAAUUUAUAUUAAAAUUAAUGUUUGAAAAAGUAAAACCCAUCAAAAUUAUGAAACUUUACAUUGAAGUGAAGUUAUUAUUUUCUCUCUAAAAGGGUGGGUGUGUGUGUGCACACAUCAUUAUAAUCAUCUCAAGAUGAAAAGAAAUUGAUGCAAUCUUUUUGUCAUCUACCAGGAGGGAAAAAAUUCAGUGGAUUAUUCAACCCUUUCUUUUUCCUUUUCAUUUUCUAGAAAAUAUAAAAGUAGCCUUUAGACCAUGUGUAUAUAUAUUAUUAUAUAUAUAUAUAUAUAUAUAGGGUAAUUGCAACAAAUAUUUUCAAAUUAUCAACCAAAAUUUAAAAUAUUUAUAUAAAAUAUUAAAAAUAUUAGUAUUGUAUUAACUGAAUCUUUUUGUAAGCCUAUUUGUCAAUAUAAGUGUUAAAAAUGCUAGUUUGGAUCUAAUGACUAUAUUUAUACGAUGUGGAUUAAAUUGUAAAACUUGUGCAUUUAUUUAUAACAUGGAUAGUUUUGAUUUGAUAUGUUGAAAAAAAUUCAUAUCAAAUAUAAAAAAAGAGUUGUUUUUUUUAACAUAUCAAAUCUAAGUUGUUCAGGGCAGAGCCAAGGGGGCUAACAGGAGGCCCGACCCCUAAAUUGAAAUUUUUUUUCAACACUUUCAUAAUUUAUAAAAUUUUAAAUUUAGUUAUGGUAAAAUUGCACUUUGCCCCUCAAAACUAAGAAAAAAAUGAUUUAAUCCUUUAAAAAUUAUAAAGAUAUAAAAUAUUAAAAUGAUGAUUUUACAUUUUUACUAUUAUAAAAAUAUACAACUUAAUUUUACCUCCUUCAAAAAUUAUAAAUACACACAUAUUUAUAAUUUAAUUCAUAUAUUUUAAAUAUACUUAACGUGAAAUUUGAAUUAACAUUUUAAAACUUAAUUAAAUUAAUUGUUAAAUUGAUAAAAUGAAGUAAUUAAUAUAAUUCUAACAUUUUAAAAAUUCAAUUAAAAUAUUUUAAAAUUGGAAAACCAAUUUAAAGUUUGAACACCAAAGCAAAUAUGUCAUGCCUUCCAUAAAGCCAACUUUUUUAUUACAAGAGCUUAACUUUUAUGAUGCAGGCCACAUGUGAACAGAACCCUAACUCAUAAAGUUUAGUUUAAAGUUUGUAAUAUCUUUUCCAUUAAUUAAAUAAUAUUAGAGCUUUUAUUUAUAUUAGAGAAUGAAAGCAAACCCUAUCUUUUAGUUGGAGUUAGUGAAGUAAAACUGGACAAUAUUCAGCAGUAAUCUUGACUGUAUGACCUGGACCUUGAAUUUGUAUUAAUUUACAAUUAAAUUAUUCAGCUGUAUAUAUAUUAUAAAUGAAGUAUGGUUCACAAGCAAUUGCCAAGUCAACUUUAAGAAAUUAAGUAAUGAAAGUUGAUGACUUUUCUAAUAAAUAGUGAUACAAUAUUAUAAUAAUAUUUGUUUUUUUUUAUUAAAAAAAUAUUUUUUUAAUAAUUUUAUUAUAGAUUAUGAUCAUAUUUGUUCUUUUUGACACAUAGUUUAGAAUUAUUCAUAGUCUCUUUCUAACUCAUAAAUAAGAUGGUGAUGUGCUUCAGUAUAUUCGAACUUACGUUCUUUUGUAUUGACAAUAAUAUUCAUAUUAAUCGAACUAAGACUGAAUCGACUUAUUGAAAAGAUAAUUAAAAGAAAGGGUGAAUUGUUUUAGAUAAAUUGGGCACUUUAGCCUAAGUAGUUUAGAAUCAGUCAAAAAUAUUUUUGAUUUCUUGAAAGAAUAAAGCAAUGGGUAAGAGGUUUCACAUUAGAAUUAGAAAAGCUUUGAAGUAAAUUAAGCUUUGGGAUGCUUUAGUGGGUUGGUCAGGCUCUUGUAAUUUUUAUUUGUUUAUUAAAAAAUAAAAAUAAUUUUAAAAGAUAAAAGUUUUUAAAAAAAUAAAAGAAUAAAAUUUUGAUCCCUUUGGAACUUAGUGGAGAGUAGAUGGAUAGUUGUAAUUGGUACAGGUUGACUUUUUGUUUUUUAUUUUUUCUGAUUUUUUUUAUGGCUAAUUAGGAGAAGUGUUUUGAGUGAGCUUAAGUUCAUUAAUUUUGGUUUAACAUAAAAUACACCAUGACUAACAACUCCUAUUAAUAUUAAUAUAUAUAUAUACAUAUAUAAAAAGUUUAUUUUUUUGGGAUAAAGUAAUAUUUAGUUUAUGAAUUUGAUUUUUUUUUAAGUUUUGAUUUUUUUUAUUUAUAUUAGUCUUAGAAAUUUGAUAGAUAUUUUCAAUUUGAUCCCUAAAUUUAGAUUUUGUUAAUAUACUAUGAUGUGGCAUUUUGAAAUUGUGCCAUAUCAUUACCUCAAAAUUUUUAAAAAAUAUUAUUGCUUUAUAAUAUUUUUAAUAUUUUUUUAUAGUUUAGAAUUUAUAUAAAAUUUUUAGGUGAUGAUAUGUCACAAUUUUAGAGUACCACAUUAUCAUACUUUUAACAGAACCCAAGUUUAGGGAUCAAUUUGAGAAAAAAUUAUCAAAUACCGAGACUAAUAUGGACAAAAAUUUCAAGGGCUAAAUUUAAAUUUUUUCCAAAUUUAAAAACUAAUUGUUAGUUUAUCCUUAUUUUUUUAUUAAAUUCACCAAAUUCUUACAUAAAAUGGUGAAAGUACCAUAGAAGCCUCCAUACUAAGAGUAAGAUUGAAUUUUGCCCGUUUUACUUUAAAAAAUGGAUAAAUUAUCCCUUAUACAUUAAAUCAAAAAACAAACUGAUCAUUUCUAUUAAAAAAUUCAUCCAUUUUUAUUGUUAAAAAUUAGCGUGGCUGACAAAAUAACCAAACAAUUUUACGUGGCAUGCUAUAUGUACCUCAUGAUAAUAUACAGGAACUAAUUUUUAACAAUUAAAAUGGAUUAAAUUUUUAACAGAAUGACCAAUUUACAUUUUAGUUAACAUUCAAAUAUCAAUUUAUCUAUUUUUUAAAUAAAAAAACAAAAUACAGUCCGUUUCCUAAUAAAAAAACUUUUGUAGUAUAUUUACCUAUAUAAAAUAUAUAACAUAAUAUUUUAUUAUAGUUAUAUUUUAAGAAGUCUAUCAUUAAUACAUAGAUUCAUCAUAGAUCCAAUUAUUGUUUGGAAUUCAAUGACCUCAUGUUCUCUCUUCAAAUCGCAUCUCAUUCCUUCCUACACUUAUCUAUCUAUAUACUCAAGUUCGCAAUUUAAGAUAUAUUUAAAUAAUUUGAUUGACAUCAAUAUUGUUGUCAGUAUAGGAGGUCGUGAGUUUGAGUGCGUUGAAGUGGAUUAUCUUCCUAUUUAAGAGUUGGGGAGGGGUUGUGGGUAAUUCUAGGCAUUGUAUAAAAUGAACAAAUAUGAUAAGAAUCUAUAAUAUGUAUAUAUGCCAAUUGAGUCUUAGUUUGAUUGACAUUGACAUUGUUGCUAGUGUCAGAGGAUGUGGGUUCGAGUGCGUUGAAGCACAUUAUUCUCCCAUUUAAGGGUUGGGGAGGGGCUAUGGAUAGUUUUAGGCAUUGUAUAAAAAAAGAGUAGAUAUGUUGGGGAUAAACCCAAAUUCAACAACAAACAAGAAUGAGAGUUAUUAGAGUAUAAGAGUAUAAGAUGGAGAAAAAAUCUAAAAAUAACCCUCAAAUCUAGAAAAAUACAAAGCUCUCUGGCUAAAACACAAAAUUACCUUAAACUCUUUUCUUGUUGUGUUGUUAAAUCUUAAUCUCUAGGUUUGCUGGUUUGCUAAGAAAUUCGUGAGCUAAUAUUAUUAAAAUAUCUCUAGAGUUAUUAGAGUUCGAUUGAAAAAAAAAAUCAGAGUUUAACUAAGAGAAAAAAUAUCAGAGUUUGAUUGGAACACAUCGCCACAUCGUGACGUUAUUUAUCUACUCAACGGGACGUCACAUGUCGCGUCAUUAGGACGUCGGUUUUUUCUCGUAGAAACAUCGUGUGUCGUGUCAUGUCGUCGACACAUUGACUCUUCCAUGUCAUGAUGUUAACUCUGUUUCAUCCAAAAUAUGAGACACACUCCACAAGAUAUAAUAAUAACUUAUAUUGAGAUUAAUGUUUAAAGAAAAAAUAUAUUUAUAUAUAUAAUAAAAUUAUUAAUUAUGAAACAUCAAAGUUAGCAAGCUGCGUUUUUACCAUUAAAUAAAACCAUCAUCAAUGCCUAAAUAUAUAUAAACUUUAUAAAAAUACUUGUGCUAAUAGUUAAUAUCAACUUAUACUCCCUACUCCCAUUAAACCUUUGAAUUUUUUUUUUAAAGUCUAUUCAUAGAAAAAUCAAAUCUAAUUAAUUCUUUAAACGUUAAAAUUGUAUCAAAAGAAUUAUUAAACUAAUGAUUUUUAUUGUUGAUCUUAACAUAAUUGUUAAAAACAGUGUUGUUUAAAUUGAACUAGAUUGAUCGAUUGGACCAAGUGGACUAAAAAUCAAUCAAGAUAUCGAUCCAAAGAGAGGUGUAAAAUUAAUUGAUUUAUAAACUAAUAUGAAAAUAUUAAACUGGUAAUUGAAGUGCCUGACAGAUGAACAUGCUAUUAGAAGACUAUUCCACAAAUUACAAAUAUAUGUAAUGUAGCGAUAAAUGCACAUUUAUCCUAUGAAUGUCGACCAACAAACUCACAAAUAAAAUAAGAAAAAGAAAAGAUUUGACUGAAAUUGAAUUAAUUAAUUAAACCAAAACAACCUAUUAGAAGACAACUAUCCACAAAUUACGGCAUGGCAUUUACAUUUUACAUGCUACAAAUAAUGUUCUAACCUACCUUUUCAAACCUUUUUUUAAUUUUAACUAGUAUAAUUUCCCCACCUUCUCCCGGGGAAUUCCUUUUUAUAAUUUUUUUUCUUAAUAAUUAAUAUCAAUAAUUAAAUAUUAAUAAUCACUUAUACUAAAUAAAUUAAAUUGAAAACUAUAUUUUUCUAUAUAAAUAUCAAACUUUUUAUUAAAUCAAUACAAGAGAUUGUAUAAAACUGUGAUUCCACGUCAUCCAUACACCUUUUCAAGAGGAGAAAAACAAAUAAGAUUUUUCCUCUUGAUUAUUAGCUUUUUUCUCCUAAAAAAAUUCAAAUCAAACUAAAAAUGCUAAAAAUCAGGAGAAAAAAUCUAAUUUGUUAUUCUCUUAUUAGAAAGAGAUAAGGAUGACGUGGAAUCACAGUUUCAUACAAUUCUUUCUCUGAAAUCAAAGGACAAAUGAUUGUAUUGAGAAUAGAUUGUUUUAGAUCCAAUUAUGCUUAUGGUAUUUCGACUAUGUUUUAAAUUUAGAAAUAUCUAUUCUUUAGUUUGAUAUAUUUUGGUUCAUCUACAUAAUAUCAUUAGUUUGUCAAAAUAGUUGAUAUCAUUAAUUAUUCUAAUCCAAUUGUUGAGGUCAAUUUUUUUCUUUUAAAAAAUACCCAUUCCAACUUCAUCCAUAUAUAUAUAUAUAUAGUGUUAGAAAGUUGCUUUUAAGAGAAAUUCAAGAAAUCAUUUUAAUCUAUAAAGUUAACCAUUGGACUAACUGAUGUCAUUAUAAAAGUAGAUGAACAAAUUAUGUCAAAUUAAAAUAUAAAAACUAAAUCCCAAAUGUGAGUACAACAGAGAGAUCGAAACUGCAAUUCUACCAUUAUCUUAUAACUUUGAAAAAAAAAGUGAUGCCAUUAGUUAGUCCAAGUAAUUAGCACCCUCAAUAUUUUUGAUAGAUGACGUAAUUAUUUUUUAAUAAAGUAUUUAUUUCAACUCAUUACACCGCCAAAAUAUUUUUUUGAUAAAAUAAUUUUUUUUAAAAAAUUAAUAAGAAUAACUAAAAAGGUUAACUAUUUAAAUUAACUAACGUGGUUGUAGAAAUAGAAAAUUAAAUUAUGUGAAAGUAAAAUGUAAAAAUUAAAUAUGAAAUGUAAGCAUAGGGGAUGAAAACUGAAAUUUUACUAUUUUAAUUAUAAUGAAAAAAAAAGAAGGUAAAGGUAGAAAUCUCAAAUUAAAUUUUAAAGACUAAAUGUAUAGAAUUUAAUUGUAAUUAAUUAGCUUUUGCUUAGGAAUAAAACAAAGCUUUGGCAUUCAAUUUCAUUUUGAAUCUUUCACGUGGUUGACUAAAAUCGUAAACUCGAACUUACUUUCAAUUUUAUAAUAUAUAUUUUGUUAAUUACAACAUUUUUUCUAUUUUUAAACUAUUAGAGAAUAAAUUUUAAUAAACUAUUUAAUUGAUAUUAGUUUGAUCUCCGAUUGGGGUUUAAUGCAGUUUAAAUUACAAUUAUAGAGAAAAUAAAUUUUAUUUCAAUUUAACUAUGUAAAUUUUUAAUAUUUUAGUGUUUUAAUUUCUUUUAAAAAAAUUAAAUUAAAUUUAUUUAUUUUUAUUCUUCUUAUCUGUUUUAUGGUCUAUGUUUAGAGUUCGUAACUGCUCUUCCUCUCAACAAUAUUGUCUUUAAGGAUCGAACUUGUAUUUUCUCAUUGAGCAUUUUAAUAUAUAUAAUGUUUUUCGAUUGUUUAAAUUAAAUCAAUUUCAGAUAAGGUCAAUUUUGAGUUUUAAAGUUUCUUGGUCAUUUUGAAUAAAAUCAAUUUCAAAGGUCCCUUCAGGUUCAAGGGUUCAAGUUUGAGACUCUAUUUUUUAGAGUCGAACCAUUACCUAUUCAGGUUCGCUCAUUUUAGGUUACUUAUUUAAGUCAUUUCAAGUCUAGGUCAAAUUUUAUUUGAGUCAUUUCAAAUUCAGAUCAAUUUAAUUUUGAAUAUGAUGAGUUCGAGUUAUUUCAAAUUUGAAUAAACUUUCAUUCAAACCAUUUCAAUUUUGAAUUGAAUUAGUUCGAGUUAUUAACUUUCCAUAAUCAAAUCAAGUUAAAAUUGUAUAUAAAUUCACAUUGAUCGAGCCAAAAUUUUAAGUACAGAUUGAUAUUGAGUUUUCAAGUUUGAGUUCAGUUGAGUAAAAGUUCUCUAAAAAUCCUUAUACCAAAAAUCAGACUAUAUUUUGUCAUCUCUACUAAAAAAAUGACAAAUUAAUUAUUCUACAAUAGAUAAAAAAGUAAACUGGUUAUUUUAUUAAAAUUUCAUCAAUUUUACUGUUAAAAAUUGAUUCUAUAUAUCAUAAUGAGUUAUACAAUUAUUACAUCAAUUUUUAACAUUAAAAAUAGAUAAAAAUUUUAAUUAAAAUUAUCGAUUUAGUCUUUAAUCUAUCUUAUAAAACUCAUUUAUUUAUUUUUUAAAUAAAAAAUAUAAUUUAAUUUUUAAUACACAAACUUCAAUAAUACUUUUACUUACGUACAUUGUUUGUAGAAUAUUUGUUAGGAGAACAAAGGCCUAAAACGGAAAGCAAAGGGGAAAAAAGAGGGAAAAGGUCGGUGACGUGGGGAAGGCAUCAGCAGCAGCAAAGGGUCACUCCCACGUGCCGCGUGGAGUGUGUCGGCUACGGUCAAAUGCCGGUACCAAUAAUGCCACAUGUAUGCCUAAUAUUCCAAAACACUAUUAAUUGUUCUUCCAGUUUGAAUGUUUGACUACCUUUUUGUUUUUUUGGUCUUAUCUCACGGCCUCUUUCAUCUGCUUCAUCCUCCUCCGAUAUUACUUGUUUCUGCUUCCACACGCUCCCUUCUAGCGCGUUUGUCCCCUUUAAUAUUGUCAUUAACAAGAGUUUAUUUUUUCAACUAAAAUUAUUUUUUACACAAAAAUCCAAACUACAUUGUGUUAAGUACAUCUAAACAAAAUUACAAACAUAAUCAAAUAAAAUAUAAAUAUUUUAAUUAACUUUAAUUUAAUUUUUUUAAAAAUAUCCACUAGUUUUAUAAAUUAUUGUAGUUUUUUUCUUUUAAUUAAUUUUCUUUACGGACUAUAUAUAAAUAUGUGUCAAUUUUUGGUCGUACAUAACAGUAGUACGAAUUAUAUCUAAUAUAUUUUUAAAAAAUAUUUUUUUUUCUUAAUAUAAAUGUAAAGAGAGACAAAAAGUAAAAAAUUGUUAUUAUAUUGGGUAGUAAAUGUUUCCAUACUAGAAGCCACUUUUUGCUCUUCCAAUUGGAAGGGUUUUUUUUUUUUUUUGUCAACCCUCCUUUAUAAAGUGACUAUGAAGCCAAAGUACCAUUCAAAGCUAAACACUCUUCCUAUAUAUCAUUUAUAUAUACACAUAUUUCUGUAUAUAUAGCUCAAAGAACAUGAAAUCAGAUAUGUAAUGAAACCCUGAAAGUAUUACAAAAACCAAACACUUUGAGGCCCUUUGUUUUUCACUUUCCUUUGUUCCUAAAAUUGUUGUUUCACCAUGUCGGAACAUGAAUUUAGAGAGUUUUAUUACCAUGCAAGUACGAUGUUCCACAACGAUCAUGUUGACGACAUGUUUAGGGUUUCGUCAUCAGCGUCGGUUGAUCAUCAUCCUUCUUCGUAUAUGAGCUUCACGGAUUGUUUACACAGUUCGGUUGACGAGUACGGUUCACUCGAAAAAGCCUUCGGUUUGUCGCCGUCAUCUUCGGAAGUGUUUUCUUCUCCAAUCGAAGGCUUGAAUCAGACAACAAAUCAACAAAGUAGUGAAGUUAUGGCCAUUACCCCUAAUUCUUCUAUUUCUUCUUCCUCAAGUGAGGCUGCUUAUUGUGAAGAAGAUUCAGAGAAAAAUAACAAAGAUAAGCAGCCAAAAGGGUCUGAUGAUGGAAGCAAAGAAAGCCCUAAGAAAGGGUAACUAACUAACCCUUUCUCCAUUUAUUUUUAGAAUUUACAGACAGCAUCAAUGGAGUUUAACUGAUGUUGUGUUUAUUUGUUGUGUCUGAAAGGAUGAAAGGGGCUAAAAAGAAAGACGAAAGAAAGCAAAAAGAACCACGAUUUGCUUUCGUGACAAAAAGUGAAGUUGAUCAUCUAGAAGAUGGGUAUAGAUGGAGAAAAUAUGGACAAAAAGCUGUGAAGAACAGUCCAUAUCCAAGGUUUGGUUUCUUUCUCUUUCUUUAAUUUCACAACCAAAAACAAACAUUGAAACAAAUCUUAGCAAAUCACGUCUGAAAGUGAAACCUGUUUGAAGUCUUUGGUCUGUAAUUGCAUUAUCUUUUCGCCCCCUUCUUUGACUAUAUGCCAAGAUGCAGUCAACAUAUAUGAAACUUUAGCUGUAAGUCAUUAGUAACUUGAUGGAUUUGAAUUAUUGAAUUAAUUCCCUGUAUAUGUGACUUGCAGGAGCUACUAUCGGUGCACUACACAGAAGUGUACAGUCAAGAAAAGGGUUGAGAGAUCAUUCCAGGAUCCAUCAACGGUGAUCACAACAUAUGAGGGUCAACACAACCACCCACUCCCCACAACACUGAGAGGAAACGCAGCAGCACUGUUCCCGCCUUCCAUGUUUGCGCCGGCGACGCCGCGGCCGAGCUUCCCGCAUGAAUUGUUUAUGCAGAUGGCGGCGCCUCAUCAAAUGAAUAACCAGCAAGCUAAUGGUGUAGCAGCAGCUUCGAUGUUUGGAGAAAACUUUAGUCCUUAUCAUCACCAGUACCACCACCACCACCGUCAGGUUUCUGACUAUGGGCUACUCCAAGACAUGGUUCCUACCAGGUUCCUUAAACAUGAACCAUGAAUAUCCCAUUCUUUCCGCUUCUUUUUUUACUCCUUGUGAGUGUACAUAUUUAUAUAUAUUUAACUGCUUUUAUCGUUAUCGUUUUCAUCUAACUUAUCUAGAGCCCAAGAAUUAUUCCUCAGUUAUUGGUUUUGAAAAGGGCUAACAUCGAGGACUAGAUAUGGGAGUGGGAUUAAAGUUCUUCCUUUGUACUUGAAACUGGUGGUUCCAUGUGUUCAGUGGAAAUGUUCGUAUGCUUCUAUGAUAGGAAAAGAGGAUCGAAGACUUGUAAUAUUAAUGGAUCAUAUUAGUUACAUUUAUGUUUGUUUAUUCAUAUCAUCAUCCUUGAUGUUAUCAUUAAUGAAGAAUGGGGGAAUAGUUUCCUUUAGUUUUUUUGACAAAUUUUGUACAACAAUGAUAUUAAUGUUUUAAAUAAUAUUCUUUUAAAACAAUUAUUAGCUACUUAAAAAUCAAUAGUAGAAUAUAUCAAAUAUAUUCUAUAAUCAUCACAAUAAAUUUUGGGUAGUAUCUAGUUUUAGUGACAUAAAGGAGGAGGAGGAUACAAAGGUUGAUAAACAUUAAGGAAAAGUAAAGCGUAGCUACUGCAGCAAAGGAAAUUCGUAGCCUGUAAUAUGAACAACGUGAAAUGGUGAAUGGAGAAUCAAAUAACACGUUUAAAACGAAGAUUAGGAUUAACAAAGUUUUUACGUGGAUGGGUUAGAAUUAUAAUACCAGAGCCACUAAAGUAGCAGUCAGGGUCGACAUGACGAUCAUAGAUUUGGUAGUACGAAUUCAUGACUGUUGAUCUUCUCUCCUGUACUCAUUAUUUGGUAGCAAUCCGUCCAUAUUUAUGAGGCAUGGUUUUUGAUGUAAAGUGAUAAGGGGUAACUAAGUGCCAUGCAUAACGAUACAUUACUCCCUUAAACUCCCUUAAACUCGACACGUAUUCUUAAAGUUAUCAUUACUGAAAUCCCCUGAACUAACAAAGUGGACAGCUAACAUUAUGGAUUUCAGGUUUUUGAAGUAUUAUAUAACAAUUUGUCCUCUACUUUAUUAAAAAAAGAAAAAAAAGAGAGUUAUAAUGUGACUUUUUGGAGAUAGAUUUAUAUACCUUAAUAGUGUAAUUGAGGGCUUUCAAUAAGGCAAGCUGCACAGCAAAAAUUUAACGACCUGAACCGCAAAAAUACUUCACAAACCCGAAAUCUGGAAUGCUAGCUCGCCACACGCUAGCUCACCACCUCUAGCUCACCACCUCUGCUAGCUCGGGGGAUCGCAACAGGAAUAACCCUAAAGAUACAUAUCGAACUUAAGGGGGUAAAGUGUUGCUAUGCAUGACAUCUAAUUGUCGCCUAACACGUCAAAUCAGGAAAUCGGGCCUUAUAAAUGUGGAAGGAUUGCACCAAAGGAAGGGACAGGCGAGAGCAUAAUGGUUGAUGAGAGUAUCAUGCUCCAUAUAAUGGUUGCAGUUGAAUCCCAAGGUUCUAACGCGAUCACAGGCAUAGUUAAUGGUGGAGGCCAGUAAUAUAGUAGGGGGAGCCUCACAUCUCAUCUAUAUAAACUUCCACUUAUAUCACUAAGAAUACUCCAAGACCCUAUUUUAUACACCGAUACUAUUCCAAACCUUCUUUUUCUCUUCUAAACUUCCUCAUUUUUCCAGAAACACAUCAUGUAAGCCGUUUCCAUUUUUCAACCUCACAUGUUGGUAAACUUUCUUUUUCUUUUUCUAUCUAUUUGAUACAAGUAAUCUUAAACAUGAUUGUGAUAAAUUUUGAUACAUUUUAAUACAUUUUGAGAUAAUUUUGAUGAUAUUUACUAGUUUUGAUAACUUUUAAAAUAUUUGUUAAUGUUGUUUGUAAUAAGUUUCACGUAGUAUAUAUAAUUUUUGUAUUUUUUUUAAAUUACAAUUUAUAAUUAAAUGAUGAAUUAAUGUAAGUAUUUAACAGAAUAAUUAAUUCAACUUAAAAUAAUUAAAUUGCUCAUACAUAAUUUACUUAGGUGGGACUUGAACAUAUGUGCUUAAAGUUUCAAGACCUCGAAUCUUAGCAUUAGCUUUAAUGGUUAAAAGUGUUCACCCCAUUCUCUAAACGCAAAACAAAUCUAUGAGCAUAACUUGUGCGAUAAUUUAAUAAUAUGCGCGUGAAAAUGUGAAUUAUACUCUUUUUUUAUCAUCUCGAUCAAAACUUUCAUUGAUAAUUUUAUCUCUUAAACGAAAAUUUUGACAAUUUUUCUUAAUAAAUUUGAAUAAUAUUGUACACUAUUUUAAUAAUUUUGUAUAUAAUUUGACAACAUUGUUGCAUCAAAACACCAAAUAAAACAUGUUUCAGUUUUUUAUGAUUUAAAUAAUUUUUUUUCUCAAUCCACAAACAAGCACUAUAAAGCAAAAAUUAGUAAAAAUUAUAUUUUAUUCUAUCAUAUAAAUAUCAUAUAUGAUAAAAACAUAACUGUAUUCAUCAUAUAUAAGCACACAAAGCACCUACUACAGAAAUCAAUCUCCUAAAUGUAAAUAAAAUGUUGACACAUUUAUUACACGCUAAACCCAAAAACCUUCACACAUGUAGAACAUCUAUUCCAUUUCAGACCCUUCAUGGAUACUGGCAGUUUCCAUAGCCUGUAAAAGGAAAAAAAAAAUACAAUUACAAACAAUGUCAAAUGAUAAAUGGAGUAUCAAAAUAAAAUUAGGUUCAAGAAAAGUUUUACUUGGAUCGGAUAUAGUGAUGAGACCAGAACCCUGGAAGUUACAGUUAUGUUCUUGACGACCAUUGGCCUGGUAAUAAGAAUUCAUGACAGACGAUGCAUGGUUGAUAUAAGUGUUGGGAUCAUAGCAUUCUCCACCUGGUUGUAUCUGGCUGCAAUUGAAUCCAAGGAUUCCAAGUUGUUCACAGGCAUAGUUUAUGUUGGAAACCAGUGCUUUAUCAUCAGUGGAAGGCUUUGCAACACACCAUUUUUUGACCUGUUACAUAACAAUUUCAUUACAAAAACUUGUGUAUUUUUCUAAUGAAAAAAGAAUUGACUAAUUUACCUGUCCAUUGGCCAACUUCAGCAAGAUCCCUGCAUGAAAAUGGUUGUUAAUUAUGAUUAAUGGGGAAGCCAUUAGAAACAGUGAGAAAAUGGGGAAAAAGAUACAUACCAGAGUUAAAUGACAAAAGGAGGAGAAAAUAGAGAAGGGGAAGUGAGACAGGUGAUUUAACCAUUGCUGUUUGUGUUGGAAGUAAAAAUUGAUUAAAAAGAUAACUUGGACAAAAAGAAACGAAGAUGAAUGUCCAAAUAUAUAACGGUGGAUAAUGCUAAUUCCAGAUAAUUUGCUGCUUCCACGAUAUGAAAGACUAAAACAUUCCUAGCACUAGCAAAGGUUUGUAAAUGUCUUAAAUGGGACAGUUUAACAGAGAAGUUGUAAGGCCAAAAGAUGAAACAGCAUAGGGUUUUUUAGUAAAUGACUUUGUGAAUUUGUCAUAAAAAGGUUGUUUUUAAGUAAUGAUUAUUGAAAAUGCAAGUUUCAAACCCCAAAAUUAAUGAUAUAUUAAUCAUAAAAUGUAGGUUUCAAACCCCAAAAUUAAUUUCAGAGUUAUGAUACAUUAAUCAUCUAUAAUCCAGAAACAUAAAAACCGAGGAGCUGAACAGGUUUAGGACAUGGUGAAAUGAUAAGGGAGUAAAAUGUCUGAAUCAAAUAUUGUCUCUGCUGCCAUAUUCCAUCUAAUUGAACAUGUUAAAUAUUUAGAAGAAAAUCAGAAUUAAGUAAAAUUUUUGGAUUAGUGUUUUAAUACUAAAGACUAGAUUAAUUUUUUGGAGGAACAAAAACUGUGACAUGUUAAUGUUUUUCACUUAUACCAGGUUGUCUUUAAAUCAACAAUAUGAUCAUGGUUAAGUUGAAAUAUUCAAGUUUUGGAAACUCUUUUUAGGAGAAGCUAUUUUUGUUUGAUUAUGCUAUAACUGCCAGACAGGACUUAAUUUGUUUGUUUUUCUAUUUUUCUAUUAAUGGUUAAGGAAAAGGUCUUUUUGGUCAUAUUUUGUAUAUUUUCCAUUUAAUUUCUUGCUUGAUGAUUAAGGAAGUACAAGAACGGCGUUAUAAUGCAUGAGGACGUCUGUUGGUAAGCGUCGGGUGAGAUUAAAUUUAUAUAUAUAUAUACAUAUUAACGUAUUUUAUAUAUUUGUUUCAACAAAAUAAGAAUUUUAUUUAUGUUUAUCAAUAUUUGUAAAUGAAAUUCAUUUUAAAUUUACUCAUAUUUUUUAAAAAUAAAUUAUAUUAUUUUUAAUUUUAUAUUUAAUUAUUUUAUAUUUUUUAUUGAAAUUUUAAAUUAAGAUAACUUAAUAUAUUUUUAAUGUUUAUAUUAUAAAAAUUAUAACAUUAUAUACAUAAUUUGUAAAAAUAAAACAAAUAUAUUUCAAAAGUACAUACUAAUUCGGGUUUAGGCUGAAUCUUGUCACAAACUUGACCCAUAUCUUAAACGUGCAUAAUUUUUAAUCCAAUUCCAUUUAUGAGAUCACUUAUUUUUGUCCAAACCUCUUAUAUUUCUAGUAGACUUUCAGACUUGAAUGAAUAGUUUAGCCCUUGAAUAAGAUGCACGGUGGUAUCUUAUAUAAACAUUAUAGAUUUCUUCAAUAAUUUAAUUAAAUUGGUACUCGUGAAAGCAAAAACAAGAAUGUAAAUAUACGAGAAAUAUAAUGAUGCGAGGGACACCCAAAUCCUACUCGUCACAUAUAAAUAAUGAAAAUAUGAAUUAAGGAUUUACAAAAUGGUACACGUUAAUAAAUAGGAAUUACAAUAUAACGAGACAAGAUAAAAGAUUGUUUGGUCCAACUUUGUUUCAUUUCUUGCAUAUAUAUAAUAUAAAUAUAUAAUAUAUUAAUGUGUAUGAUUUUAGAAUAUAUAAUUUAUAUAUAGAUAAAAAAAACAGUUAUUUUGAAAUUCCAUUAAAGCCCAAAAAAACCCUAUACAACUAUCCAUCUCCACUGUACACAAUAAGAAAGUUUAAAGUGAGGGAUAACAUCCCAGUUGAGAUAAAAGCAGAUGGGAUACAUUGAUAUAGACAGGUUCUGUUGAGAUAUACACCUUGCAACUAUACCAUUACAAGUAAAUUUUAACAUUGCUUCAAGUAUACCAUAUUCCAUCUUCUUUAUUGAAGCAAGCUGUUCUGAACAAGACAUCAACUAUUAUUGGUGGCAUAAAAUACCACCGACCACCAACAAAACUAUGUCCUGCCUUGUAUUUCCACUUGAAAACUUCAUGUUUCUUUCUUCACCAAUAAAUGAAGCUCAAUGCUUCCUGCUCUAAAAAUAGAGGGAUUUUGUCGAUUGAGUCUCAGUUUAAUUAACAUGAGCAUUGUUAUCAAUGUAGGAGGACAUGAGUUUGAGUGAUUUGAAGCGCGUUAUCUUCUUAUUUAUGGGUUAGAGAGGAGCUAUCGGUAGUUCUAGAUAUUGUGUAAAAAAUAACAGAUAUGAUCAGAACCUAUAAUGAGAUUAUUCAAAAAAUAAUAAUAGAAAGAUUUCAUAAACUUGGUUGAGUUGGAUGUAUGGUUAUUUUGAUUUGAAAAUUUUGAUUAAGGCUAUAUAUAUUUGUAAAUGAUUAAUCCUAAGUUUAUUUAGGGUUUCUCAUAUUUUUAUUUUUAUUCUUUUAAAAUAUAAUUAUUUUUAAUUAAUAUAUAGUAAUUAUUUACUUUUUACUACCAUUAUAUAUAUUGUAUUUUAUUAAAAUUUUUAACAUAAAUUACUUAACAUAUUUUUAAAUAUUUUUAUUUAAUCUCAUAUGAUAUAAAUUCCGUAAUAUAUAAAGGAAAAACAUAUUCUAAAUUUGAAAAUGGGUAGCUUGGGUUUUGAAUAUUGAAACCCGAUCCCGGCUCGUAUUAUAAACAAACCUAAUUUUUUUACACAAACUCUCUCAAAAUUUCAAGGUUCGAGUUGGGUGGAUAGUUCAAUACUUGAACAUAUCUACUACAAAAUGUGGGUCAUGGUUCUUUUAAAUUAGGUUAAAUUUUGCUACUGAUCUUUAUGUUAUGUGUAAGUUGUAGAUUUAGUCUUUGCACUUUAAUUUUGUUAUUUUUCUAGUCCUUACCAGCCUAACCAAAUAGUAGUUGUUAGAUUUUUUUAAGUGUAAAAAUAUUAUCACAUGUGAAAUGUCAUAACAGUUUUUUGUUUUUACAUAUUACUCACAAAAAAUCAACUAAUAAAUUUAAUAAUUAUUAUUUGUGUCAAAAUUAAAAUUUUAAAAUUUAAAAAGAAUUGCCAUUGUUUAAUUCAGAACAAAUUUUAAAAUUAAAAAAAAAAAACUAAAAUUCAUUUAGGUUCGGUUAACUCAUUUUGGCGACAAAUUCAUUUCAGUUUAUUUAAUUCUAGUGACUUAUUUGGUUUAGUAGAUUAUUCAUUAUAUAAAAAUCAAAUCGAUUAAACUAAUCAGAUAUACAUCUUUAAUGGUCAUUGAGAUGUUAACUAACGACGUUCACCAUUACUCCGACAUAAUUAAAAUACAUUAAAUAUAUUUCAUAUAUAAAAUGAGCUUUAUUUUUAUUAUCCAUAUCAAAGUUCUUUUUAUUAAAUUAUUUUAAGUAAUACUUUUUUUAUUGGUAAUAUUUUUAGAAUUAGACCAAUAGUUAGAUCUGUUCGAUCACUAAUUUACUGGUUUGAUUAAUUUAAUAAAUAAAUUCAUAAAAAAUUAAAAAUAAAAUACUUCUUUUAAUCAAUUUUUUAGUCGAUCAAUCAAUUCAUAAUUCAACUGGUCGACUAUCAUUCUCUAAAUUAAUACUUUGAUUGAUUCUCAAUUUAACCAAUAUAUAUAUAUUAAUUUGAAACUGUUGGUGUUGGAUAGUAAAGUAGCAUUGGCUAUAGCAAUGGUGUCAAAAGGGGGCACUUAGGAUUCGAGGGUGUCGAACCAUAACUGUGACUGGUCAGAAAUUGCCUGUGACCCUUUCCAUGACUCAAUGAGGUCAUUCCAUCAAUUCAAACCUCGAAAUCAUUAUAGUUAUCUGAGGCUAUCUAUAUCUGAAUUUCUAUUGGUUCAAAACAUUAUGGAACUUUGAUUUCUAACGUCUACUUGGCACAUGCAACACCACGUAUCAGUGUUGGAUAAUUUUGGGGGUUGAACGGUGAAUUUUGUAUUCAAAAAAAAAUCUCCAGUGCUGUUUGUUGAACCAAUGAGAUUGUGCCACUCGUGAAUCACAUCGGAUAACCCCUAUCAUAUCUACUUGGAACAGUCGCAACUACCUGUUUCAAAUUCAGGACCACUUUGGCUUUGCGUUUCAUUGCAUGGGUCUGAAAUUCUUGUUACGAGAAAAAGCUGUGUAAUAAAUAAUGUUAAUGUUUAUGGAAAGGAUUAUGUUUAUGUUUCAUCUUGUUUCUUGAUGAAGCCUAAUGAAUCAUAUAGUUUUCGACACUGAUAAUUAGACUACUCGUGGGUAUUUUUAGAAACUAUUAAGUCAAUUACAUAAUUAAAUUUUUGGGUUUUUAAAAAUAAAUUUCAAGUUUUCUUUAUAAGGGUUAAAAGGACGAGACUUGGUAUAAACUAGACCAACACCACUGACUAGUUGACAUCAAUUUAAAGUAUUUUGAUAGUGCCGCAAAACAAAUUAAGCCAGAUUUUUAUUCGUAAGAUAUUUUACAUUUAUGUAUUAUCAACCACUCAAAUCCUGUAAUUUGUAUUUUUAUGCUGCCAUGAUUUCAGCAUCAAUAAACUUCACCAAAAGAAAGGAAAAUCUAUUUCAUAUGGCUCAAAGAAACUUCUUUCUAUGAAAACUCCAUCUAUUUUUCCAUGAAAAUGAAAAGGAAGGGAGAGAGAAAAUCAACAUCAAGGGAGUUGUUUAAUUUAUCAAGUAAUAUUUGUGUGUAUUAAUUAUAAUCACGAAAAUAUUGAUUGAAUCACAAGUGAAGAUUUUAUAUUUAAUUUAUAAUUGACAAAAUUUUAAACUUUAUUUUUGAAUUAUUUUUCAUACAAAACAAUCCAUUUAACUGUUGUAGCAUUGCUUCAUUGUUCUAAACAAAACAAACAAAAAGGUUUCGAAAUUUUUCAACAGUCGAAUUUCCGUCACUAUGGUGGCCAAGCCUAUGAUCCUUAAAAAAUAUUGGUAGCCUGUUAAGUGAAAUUUUGUGGAUUAAAGAUUGCCAAGUGGACAUGCAUGGCCAACAUCAAAAUCUUGGAAGCUCCAAUGAAAUGAAAGAUAGAGAUAUUACGUAGAUAAGGAACCUUACUCUCACCUUCCUAUAUAAUAAACGCAUCGGAUUGCCCCUUCAAUCACUCACCCAUCACCAACAAAAUCAACUGCUUCACAAUGGCCUCUACAACCAUGGCUCUUUCUUCCCCAUCAUUCGCCGGUAAGGCAGUGAAGUUCUCCCCUUCCACCCCUGAAAUCCAGGGAACUGGCCGUGUUUCCAUGAGGAAAACCACCAAGCCUGUUCCUUCUGGUAGCCCAUGGUACGGUCCUGACCGAGUUUUGUACUUGGGUCCACUUUCCGGUGAGCCACCAUCUUACUUGACCGGUGAGUUCCCUGGUGACUAUGGUUGGGACACUGCUGGACUCUCAGCUGAUCCCGAGACCUUUGCUAGGAACCGUGAGCUCGAAGUCAUUCACUGCAGAUGGGCCAUGUUGGGAGCUCUUGGGUGUGUUUUCCCUGAGCUGUUGGCUAGGAACGGUGUCAAGUUCGGUGAAGCUGUAUGGUUCAAGGCCGGGUCUCAAAUCUUCAGUGAGGGUGGACUUGACUACUUGGGUAACCCAAGCUUGAUCCAUGCUCAAAGCAUUUUGGCCAUCUGGGCUUGCCAAGUUAUCUUGAUGGGAGCCGUCGAGGGCUACCGUAUUGCCGGUGGACCACUCGGUGAAGUGACUGACCCAUUGUACCCAGGUGGCAGCUUUGACCCAUUGGGUCUUGCUGAUGACCCAGAGGCAUUCGCUGAGCUCAAGGUGAAAGAGAUCAAGAACGGUAGGUUGGCUAUGUUCUCAAUGUUCGGGUUCUUCGUUCAGGCCAUCGUGACCGGAAAGGGACCAUUGGAGAACUUGGCUGACCACCUUGCUGACCCAGUCAACAACAAUGCUUGGGCCUAUGCCACCAACUUUGUCCCCGGAAAGUGAACUUAGAGAGUGAGAAGGGAUUUGUCUUGUUUAUGUUUUUAUUUGUUGGUGUGAAUUUAAAUUUGUUGCACAAUCAAUGAAAGUAUAAUGUGAAUUUUGUGUGCUCAAUUUUUUUGACUGUUCCAAGUCCAUUUGUUUCAAAAAUGAAAAUGGUAAAAACAGGUGAAGCACAUGACGCUAUAGACAAAACGAAAAAUAAAACUGUAAAUUUCGACAAAUUAAGUAUAAAUAUAUUCCCGAAUAAACUUCUCAGCGUUCUAUUUAGUAUCUUG